Molecule: small nucleolar RNA, 81 nt
Filed under: Oryza sativa Indica Group (long-grained rice)
Lineage: Eukaryota; Viridiplantae; Streptophyta; Magnoliopsida; Poales; Poaceae
Description: Small nucleolar RNA Z175
Source: RNAcentral
GGGGAAGUUCAGCCUAAAAAAUCAAAACAAAUGCAUGGCUCAGAGUAUCAUAGAAUUAAAGUACAUCAUAGAAAAAUCAAA